ACGGCUCAGUAACACGUCGGUAACCUACCCUCGGGAGGGGGAUAACCCCGGGAAACUGGGGCUAAUUCCCCAUAGGCCUGAGGUACUGGAAGGUCCUCAGGCCGAAAGGGUCUUAUGUCCGCCCGAGGAUGGGCCGGCGGCCGAUUAGGUAGUUGGUGGGGUAAUGGCCCACCAAGCCGAAGAUCGGUACGGGCUGUGAGAGCAGGAGCCCGGAGAUGGACACUGAGACACGGGUCCAGGCCCUACGGGGCGCAGCAGGCGCGAAACCUCCGCAAUGCGGGAAACCGCGACGGGGGGACCCCGAGUGCCGUGGCAACGCCACGGCUUUUCCGGAGUGUAAAAAGCUCCGGGAAUAAGGGCUGGGCAAGGCCGGUGGCAGCCGCCGCGGUAAUACCGGCGGCCCGAGUGGUGGCCGCUAUUAUUGGGCCUAAAGCGUCCGUAGCCGGGCCCGUAAGUCCCUGGCGAAAUCCCACGGCUCAACCGUGGGGCUUGCUGGGGAUACUGCGGGUCUUGGGACCGGGAGAGGCGGGGGGUACCCCUGGGGUAGGGGUGAAAUCCUAUAAUCCCAGGGGGACCGCCAGUGGCGAAGGCGCCCCGCUGGAACGGGUCCGACGGUGAGGGACGAAGGCCAGGGGAGCAAACCGGAUUAGAUACCCGGGUAGUCCUGGCUGUAAAGGAUGCGGGCUAGGUGUCGGGUGAGCCUCGAGCUCGCCCGGUGCCGUAGGGAAGCCGUUAAGCCCGCCGCCUGGGGAGUACGGCCGCAAGGCUGAAACUUAAAGGAAUUGGCGGGGGAG
Molecule: ribosomal RNA, 794 nt
Filed under: uncultured Thermococcus sp.
Lineage: Archaea; Methanobacteriati; Methanobacteriota; Thermococci; Thermococcales; Thermococcaceae
Description: bacterial SSU rRNA
Rfam family: Archaeal small subunit ribosomal RNA
Source: RNAcentral